This 250-nucleotide ribosomal RNA is filed under the name uncultured archaeon. RNAcentral's name for it is "partial 16S ribosomal RNA". It matches the Rfam family "Eukaryotic small subunit ribosomal RNA", at positions 583 to 818 of the family's 1831-position model. The record is from RNAcentral.
UUCCAGCUCCAAUAGCGUAUAUUAAAUUUGCUGCAGUUAAAAAGCUCGUAGUUGGAUUUGUGGUGUGGUGCGUCUGGAGCCAGCGUGGUCCUUUCGAGGGCUGUGUUGUGUGAUCCGGGUAAGCGUGCCUGCCAUUUGUUCCUCUUCUUCAGAGUCGCAAGACGAUGUUGGGGGAACCCUUUACUUUGAGCAAAUUAGAGUGUUCCAAGCAGGCCGUUCUAGGGCCGUGAAUACAUGAGCAUGGAAUAAU